GUGGGGAAUAUUGGACAAUGGGCGAAAGCCUGAUCCAGCCAUGCCGCGUGUGUGAAGAAGGUCUUCGGAUUGUAAAGCACUUUAAGUUGGGAGGAAGGGCAGUAAGUUAAUACCUUGCUGUUUUGACGUUACCGACAGAAUAAGCACCGGCUAACUUCGUGCCAGCAGCCGCGGUAAUACGAAGGGUUCAAGCGUUAAUCGGAAUUACUGGGCGUUAAGCGCGCGUAGGUGGUUUUGUAAGUUGGAGGUGAAAGCCCCGGGCUCAACCUGGGAACUGCCUCCAAAACUGCAUGACUAGAGUACGGUAGAGGGUAGUGGAAUUUCCUGUGUAGCGGUGAAAUGCGUAGAUAUAGGAAGGAACACCAGUGGCGAAGGCGACUACCUGGACUGAUACUGACACUGAGGUGCGAAAGCGUGGGGAGCAAACAGGAUUAGAUACCCCUGUAGUCC
RNAcentral lists this ribosomal RNA (450 nucleotides) under uncultured bacterium. Its description in RNAcentral is "partial 16S ribosomal RNA". It matches the Rfam family "Bacterial small subunit ribosomal RNA", at positions 354 to 796 of the family's 1533-position model. The record is from RNAcentral.